Molecule: ribosomal RNA, 469 nt
Filed under: uncultured organism
Description: partial 16S ribosomal RNA
Rfam family: Bacterial small subunit ribosomal RNA
Source: RNAcentral
CGUACACUCCUGCGGGAGGCAGCAGUGAGGAAUAUUGGACAAUGGGUGGAAGCCUGAUCCAGCCAUCCCGCGUGCAGGAAGACGGCCCUAUGGGUUGUAAACUGCUUUUAUCUGGGGAUAAACCUACUUACGUGUAAGUAGCUGAAGGUACCAGAAGAAUAAGCACCGGCUAACUCCGUGCCAGCAGCCGCGGUAAUACGGAGGGUGCAAGCGUUAUCCGGAUUUAUUGGGUUUAAAGGGUCCGUAGGCGGACUGAUAAGUCAGUGGUGAAAUCCGACAGCUUAACUGUCGAACUGCCAUUGAUACUGUUAGUCUUGAGUAAGGUUGAAGUGGCUGGAAUAAGUAGUGUAGCGGUGAAAUGCAUAGAUAUUACUUAGAACACCAAUUGCGAAGGCAGGUCACUAAGUCUUAACUGACGCUGAUGGACGAAAGCGUGGGGAGCGAACAGGAUUAGAAACCCUAGUAGUCC